CAGGGAUGGGGCACCACAAUUUCUCCAGGCAGCUGUGCCUGCACCUCACUGCCCUCUCUGAAAAAUUUCUGUCUGACAUCUAAACUAAAUCUCCCCUCUUUUAAUUUAAAAGCAUUCUCUCUUGUCCUAUCACUAUCAGACUGUGUAAAAAGUUUUUUUCCUUCCUGUAAUGAAACCUUAGCGUACUGGGAAAUCUCCCCAGAGUUGCUCAUCUCCAGAUUAAACAGUCCCAGCUCCCUCAGCGUGUCUUCACAAGAGAGGUUCUCUGAACAUCUUUGUGCCCUUGUUUGGACCUGUCCCAACAGCUUCACAUCCCUCCAGUACCGAGGUCCCCAGGCCUGGAUGCAGUACUCUGGAUGGGUCAAAGCAGAGAGGGACAAUCCCCCUACUCUCCUUGCUUCCCACUCCUCUUGUGACGCAGCCCACAAGACCCAGUGCAUUCUGGGCUGAGAGCACACACUGCUAGCUCGUGUUCAGCUUUUUGUCCACCAGAAUCCCCAAAUCCUUUUCUGUGGGGCUGCUCUCAAUGAGUUCUUCUCCCAGUCUGUAUAUAUAUCUGGGAUUGCCCAACCAAAGGGCAACACCUUGCACUUGGCCUUGUUGACCCCCUUUGCGGGUCUCUUACUAAGUAUAGGCCACAGAGGCAUGCAGGAAUGCUGGGGGAAAAACACAAGUGCGUCCCCCCCCUCCUGUUCUGAAGUAAUCUGUAUGUUUGCACAGAGGAGUGCUGGAAGCAGCUGGUGGGUAUGGGCUUGUGCCCAGCUUGCUCAAAGUGUAGACACAAGAUUUGUGCUGCAUCAGCACACUGGAGGAGAAUCAAACCAAAAUUGUUUGAUCCUCCAAGUUGCUAACUAUGAGGCAGGGUAGGAUAUUGCAAGUUGUACCAGCCACUGUAGGAAAGUGCAAAUAGUUUGCUUUAGUAAUCCCUGUAAUCCCCUAUAAAUAAUGCCCUCACCUAUAUUGAUGAAAAAAUUACAUAACAGCUACACCCAGCCAAAGGGAAAAAAUAAACAAAAAAUCAUCCAAUACACUCAUGAUGCUGGUCAGAUUCAUCUGAGCCGCAUUAGCAGGGCUUAGUACUGCAGCCAGAGAAAGGAGGACUGCCAUCCGGAAGGAAUAUCUGUGUAAUCUUAGGCUCAAAAAGUAGUUUUCAAAAAACUCCAGACCCUGACUCUUUGUUUAUUAUGCAGGAUGCAGGCUGAGAUGGAAGGUGGGGGAUCGGUAUGCUGGAUCGCAUUCAAGCCGCUCGUUCAUAGGGAUUUUCCCCUGUGGCCUCCAAGUCAGCAGUGGUUGCACAAGCCGUGAUGAGGUAGCUCUUCCAUCUGCAUUUAGACAAGCUUCACAUCAUCAUCUGGUAAGAGAGUGGAAGAUGCAUGAAGUGGAAUGCAUAAGUCCAUACAUUCCAAGAGCCUUUCCCUGGAGUUUCAGUAGGAGCAAAAUAUCUCAUUUAAGAAGAGGAAAAAGAAGAGAAUAUUUGGAAGUAAAAUAAAAGAUACAAAGCUUGGACUAAGGAAAAUUUGACAUUUCUCAAGGAAACAAAAAAAAAAAGGAAAGACAUGAAGGAAAAUAAUGAAAUACUUUGACAAAGCACUUAACUAGAACUACCAAGAAAAUUCAGGAGAUUCUGAGGAAAUAAAGAAAUUAUA
This is a non-coding RNA of Meleagris gallopavo (turkey), 1646 nucleotides long. The record is from RefSeq and is a predicted model, not a curated record. NCBI's taxonomy places the organism in Eukaryota, Metazoa, Chordata, Aves, Galliformes, Phasianidae.